AGAACAAAAAAUGAGAUAUAUCUCUUGGAAAUAUGCUACACCUGCUUCAAACUUGUUACAGAAAAGGAGACUUAUUACUACUCCAACCUGAUUCCUAUAAUCAUCUAUAAUCAACAACUAUAUAAAAAGCUACAACAGAGCAUUUAAUAUAAAUUCUUGUUCAUACAGAUGUUCAAAAAGAUACAUGGAACCAUUUAGAGGCUACUUCAGAUAACAUUUGAAUGCAGAGAGAGGCAGCUCCCAAAUGUGAAAAAACAGCACUAGCAGUUGGUUUUCUUUUCCGGCCCAUAUUUCACAAAGAAACAGCUUUUAUCACUUCGAGAGUUACUGUGUACGCGAUGACAAGUAGAGAAAAACAAAGCUGCGUUGAGAUGUGGGUGCUGGCCUGUCUGAUAGGCUCCCUCUGAGCUACGUGAUCAGCUCCUAUUUGCAAGCCUGGCAGCAAGCAAGUAACAUUUCAGCCUCAGCAAAACUACAAAUUACUUUACCACAGACCUUGGAAUCAGUUUUUUCAGGUAUUCAAGGUGCUAAACGAAAGAUGGCCAGCCCUCAUUCAACAAGUAUUCAAUGAAGAGCUACCAAGCCUAGAGAUGCAGUACCAAGUAAAGAAGAAGACAACUCUCUGAGCCUACUGCUCCUUGCUAAUCUCUGGGCUAACUUUAGACAAACAAUAGAAACAUAAAUGUCAUGCAAACUUUAAACCCCUACAAACAAGCUAGAAUUCUCUAAAUUGCUAAAUCUGCUGCACGCAAUUUCAUCAAGAGUGCUAUAGGGGUAAGAUGCAUGAAAUAUGGUGAGGCAACAGGGAUUUUUUUUUGA
Symphalangus syndactylus (siamang) is the source of this 819-nucleotide long non-coding RNA. RefSeq lists it as uncharacterized. The record is from RefSeq and is a predicted model, not a curated record. NCBI's taxonomy places the organism in Eukaryota, Metazoa, Chordata, Mammalia, Primates, Hylobatidae.